GACGAACGCUGGCGGCGUGCUUAACACAUGCAAGUCGAACGGAAAGGCCCUGCUUUUGUGGGGUGCUCGAGUGGCGAACGGGGGAGUAACACGUGAGUAACCUGCCCUUGACUUUGGGAUAACUUCAGGAAACUGGGGCUAAUACCGGAUAGGAGCUCCUGCUGCAUGGUGGGGGUUGGAAAGUUUCGGCGGUUGGGGAUGGACUCGCGGCUUAUCAGCUUGUUGGUGGGGUAGUGGCUUACCAAGGCUUUGCCGGGUAGCCGGCCUGAGAGGGUGACCGGCCACAUUGGGACUGAGGUACGGCCCAGACUCCUACGGGAGGCAGCAGUGGGGAAUAUUGCACAAUGGGCGGAAGCCUGAUGCAGCAACGCCGCGUGCGGGAUGACGGCCUUCGGGUUGUAAACCGCUUUCGCCUGUGACGAUGCGUGAGUGACGGUAAUGGGUAAAGAAGCACCGGCUAACUACGUG
This 468-nucleotide ribosomal RNA is filed under the name uncultured bacterium. RNAcentral describes it as "partial 16S ribosomal RNA". It matches the Rfam family "Bacterial small subunit ribosomal RNA", at positions 28 to 507 of the family's 1533-position model. The record is from RNAcentral.